This 585-nucleotide ribosomal RNA is filed under the name uncultured Sphingomonas sp. RNAcentral describes it as "bacterial SSU rRNA". It matches the Rfam family "Bacterial small subunit ribosomal RNA", at positions 85 to 705 of the family's 1533-position model. Lineage: Bacteria; Pseudomonadati; Pseudomonadota; Alphaproteobacteria; Sphingomonadales; Sphingomonadaceae. The record is from RNAcentral.
CGGGUACUUAGUGGCGCACGGGUGCGUAACGCGUGGGAAUCUGCCCCUUGGUUCGGAAUAACAGUUGGAAACGACUGCCAAUACCGGAUGACGACGUAAGUCCAAAGAUUUAUCGCCGAGGGAUGAGCCCGCGUAGGAUUAGGUAGUUGGUGUGGUAAAGGCGCACCAAGCCGACGAUCCUUAGCUGGUCUGAGAGGAUGAUCAGCCACACUGGGACUGAGACACGGCCCAGACUCCUACGGGAGGCAGCAGUGGGGAAUAUUGGACAAUGGGCGAAAGCCUGAUCCAGCAAUGCCGCGUGAGUGAUGAAGGCCUUAGGGUUGUAAAGCUCUUUUACCCGGGAUGAUAAUGACAGUACCGGGAGAAUAAGCUCCGGCUAACUCCGUGCCAGCAGCCGCGGUAAUACGGAGGGAGCUAGCGUUAUUCGGAAUUACUGGGCGUAAAGCGCACGUAGGCGGCUUUGUAAGUAAGAGGUGAAAGCCCAGAGCUCAACUCUGGAAUUGCCUUUUAGACUGCAUCGCUUGAAUCAUGGAGAGGUCAGUGGAAUUCCGAGUGUAGAGGUGAAAUUCGUAGAUAUUCGGAAGA